UUAAGCGACUAAGCGUACACGGUGGAUGCCCUGGCAGUCAGAGGCGAUGAAGGACGUGCUAAUCUGCGAAAAGCGUCGGUAAGGUGAUAUGAACCGUUACAGCCGGCGAUGUCCGAAUGGGGAAACCCAGUGCAAUUCGUUGCACUAUCGUUAACUGAAUACAUAGGUUAACGAGGCGAACCGGGGGAACUGAAACAUCUA
Molecule: ribosomal RNA, 201 nt
Filed under: Klebsiella pneumoniae
Lineage: Bacteria; Pseudomonadati; Pseudomonadota; Gammaproteobacteria; Enterobacterales; Enterobacteriaceae
Description: partial 23S ribosomal RNA
Rfam family: Bacterial large subunit ribosomal RNA
Source: RNAcentral